RNAcentral lists this ribosomal RNA (253 nucleotides) under uncultured bacterium. RNAcentral describes it as "partial 16S ribosomal RNA". It matches the Rfam family "Bacterial small subunit ribosomal RNA", at positions 524 to 776 of the family's 1533-position model. The record is from RNAcentral.
UACGUAGGGGGCAAGCGUUGUCCGGAAUUAUUGGGCGUAAAGAGCUCGUAGGCGGUUUGUCGCGUCUGCUGUGAAAUCCCGAGGCUCAACCUCGGGCCUGCAGUGGGUACGGGCAGACUGGAGUGCGGUAGGGGAGAAUGGAACUCCUGGUGUAGCGGUGGAAUGCGCAGAUAUCAGGAAGAACACCGAUGGCGAAGGCAGUUCUCUGGGCCGUAACUGACGCUGAGGAGCGAAAGCGUGGGGAGCGAACAGG